AGAGUAGUGGAUGGGGACAAGGUUGGCAGAGCGUGAAGCCUGGGCUCAGUGGUGCUUUGGAGAUCUGCGAGACAAGAAAGUUGCAUCGAAGAGGAUGAGAGGAGAUAAUGCAGUGGAACAUGGUACCUUCAGCCUGCUUGACACCAUGUUUAGCAGAGUGCACACAGCACAAGUUGGACUUGAAGUGAAGAAGAGCUUUUGUCCGGAUGAGUUUGGAAUGUCCAUCACAGAGGCUGCUCAGAGUCCCUGAGCCACAAAAGCCACUUCCAGUCAGGAGGAAUGGUGGAGCAGCCCAGGUGGAGCAGCGCUUGGGAUGAGCAGAAAUGUGUGUUGGUGGCAGUGGGCUUUUUCCUUUUGUGCAAGAGGACUUUACAGGCACAUUUUCCAUAUGGGAAGAACCAAAUAAACAACCAAAGAAAGAAAACCCACAGAUCAGCAGAAGGAAAUGUCCUGGAUUUGCAUGAAAAUUCCCACCAACCCAUCCUGUGAUUGCCAGUUGCCAAAUGAGAAUAAUCUUUGGAAUUUCA
Molecule: long non-coding RNA, 527 nt
Organism: Gallus gallus (chicken)
Lineage: Eukaryota; Metazoa; Chordata; Aves; Galliformes; Phasianidae
Exons: 3
Source: RefSeq, a predicted model, not a curated record